This 394-nucleotide ribosomal RNA is filed under the name uncultured bacterium. RNAcentral describes it as "bacterial SSU rRNA". It matches the Rfam family "Bacterial small subunit ribosomal RNA", at positions 30 to 428 of the family's 1533-position model. The record is from RNAcentral.
AUUGAACGCUGGCGGCAUGCCUUACACAUGCAAGUCGAACGGCAGCGGACCUUCGGGUGCCGGCGAGUGGCGAACGGGUGAGUAAUAUAUCGGAACGUACCUUUCAGUGGGGGAUAACGUAGCGAAAGUUACGCUAAUACCGCAUAUUCUGUGAGCAGGAAAGCAGGGGAUCGCAAGACCUUGCGCUGAUUGAGCGGCCGAUAUCAGAUUAGCUAGUUGGUGAGGUAAAGGCUCACCAAGGCGACGAUCUGUAGCGGGUCUGAGAGGAUGAUCCGCCACACUGGAACUGAGAUACGGUCCAGACUCCUACGGGAGGCAGCAGUGGGGAAUUUUGGACAAUGGGCGCAAGCCUGAUCCAGCCAUGCCGCGUGAGUGAAGAAGGCCUCGGUUGUAA